GAGGACGGACGCUGGCGGCGUGCCUAAUACAUGCAAGUAGAACGCUGAAGACUUUAGCUUGCUAGAGUUGGAAGAGUUGCGAACGGGUGAGUAACGCGUAGGUAACCUGCCUAUUAGCGGGGGAUAACUAUUGGAAACGAUAGCUAAUACCGCAUAAUAGUGUUUAACACAUGUUAGAUGCUUGAAAGAUGCAAAUGCAUCACUAGUAGAUGGACCUGCGUUGUAUUAGCUAGUUGGUGGGGUAACGGCCUACCAAGGCGACGAUACAUAGCCGACCUGAGAGGGUGAUCGGCCACACUGGGACUGAGACACGGCCCAGACUCCUACGGGAGGCAGCAGUAGGGAAUCUUCGGCAAUGGGGGCAACCCUGACCGAGCAACGCCGCGUGAGUGAAGAAGGUUUUCGGAUCGUAAAGCUCUGUUGUAAGAGAAGAACGUGUGUGAGAGUGGAAAGUUCACACAGUGACGGUAACUUACCAGAAAGGGACGGCUAACUACGUGCC
This 502-nucleotide ribosomal RNA is filed under the name uncultured bacterium. RNAcentral describes it as "bacterial SSU rRNA". It matches the Rfam family "Bacterial small subunit ribosomal RNA", at positions 26 to 509 of the family's 1533-position model. The record is from RNAcentral.